UGGGGAAUAUUGCACAAUGGGCGCAAGCCUGAUGCAGCAACGCCGCGUGAGGGACGACGGCCUUCGGGUUGUAAACCUCUUUUAGUAGGGAAGAAGCGGAAGUGACGGUACCUGCAGAAAAAGCACCGGCUAACUACGUGCCAGCAGCCGCGGUAAUACGUAGGGUGCGAGCGUUGUCCGGAAUUAUUGGGCGUAAAGAGCUCGUAGGCGGUCUGUCGCGUCUGCUGUGAAAACCCGAGGCUCAACCUCGGGCCUGCAGUGGGUACGGGCAGACUAGAGUGCGGUAGGGGAGAAUGGAAUUCCUGGUGUAGCGGUGGAAUGCGCAGAUAUCAGGAGGAACACCGAUGGCGAAGGCAGUUCUCUGGGCCGUAACUGACGCUGAGGAGCGAAAGCGUGGGGAGCGAACAGGAUUAGAUACCCUGGUAGUCCACGCCGUAAACGUUGGGCGCUAGAUGUGGGGACCAUUCCACGGUUUCCGUGUCGCAGCUAACGCAUUAAGCGCCCCGCCUGGGGAGUACGGCCGCAAGGCUAAAA
Molecule: ribosomal RNA, 534 nt
Filed under: uncultured bacterium
Lineage: Bacteria
Description: partial 16S ribosomal RNA
Rfam family: Bacterial small subunit ribosomal RNA
Source: RNAcentral